Molecule: long non-coding RNA, 515 nt
Filed under: Pan troglodytes (chimpanzee)
Lineage: Eukaryota; Metazoa; Chordata; Mammalia; Primates; Hominidae
Description: lincRNA
Source: RNAcentral
GCCAGUGUCUCCGCCGGUUGAAAGCGCGUGUCUGCGUCGGGUUCUGUUGGAGUGCGUUCGGUGCGCCGUGGGUCCGCGCUGCUUCCACCCAACUUCCUGUUAGGUUACAUUAGUUAUAAUAUACACUCUGGAGGUGACUUGACUUGUCAUUGUGAACAACUAUUGCUCUUGGACGACCCAGGACAUAGGCCAGCCAGUACGUACCCCAGUGUGUUGGAGAAUCGCACUCGGCUUCUUCCUCUGUGCUGAGUCAUGAAAGUUGCCGGAGCAGGUGCAGUUACACAACCUCCAGGUAUGAUCCUGUUUAAGGACUGGAUUUAGGAUAACUACUUAGAGGUUAAAAGUCACAAGGGUGUAUGGAUGAGGCUGGAGUGAUCUGGGACCAAAGACAUCUAGGCUUGGUAUCAAGGCUUCUGAUCAACAUGAGAUGACCGCCGUGUAGUAAACUGAUGAACCCCGACCCUGAUCAACGUCAGAUGAACGCCGUGUGGUAAACUGAUGAACCCGACCCUGAU